Long non-coding RNA from Pollicipes pollicipes, 1472 nucleotides. RefSeq lists it as uncharacterized. Lineage: Eukaryota; Metazoa; Arthropoda; Thecostraca; Pollicipedomorpha; Pollicipedidae. The transcript has 3 exons. The record is from RefSeq and is a predicted model, not a curated record.
CAGAGUGUGACGACGAGCAGCCAUUGGUGCAGCUAUGCUGACGCUGGUAGCCCUCGCCGUGGUUCUGGUCGGCGCCGUGGACGGGUCCACACCCACGGCGCUCUGCGGCACACAGCCGUGUCCUGAGCCGUUCGAGUGCCGUGAAGAGGGAGACGUGUCGGUCUGUGUGCGCGUGCCAGCCCCCACCUGCGCUGACACCAGCUGCCCGGCCGGACAAGAGUGUAUUCUGCAACAGGCGUUUUGUGACUCCUUACCCUGCGACCCGAAACCUACUUGCGUCAAUAGAAAUCCCUGCGGAACCUGCUUUGCUCCGCAGGAGUUCUGCCAGCUGCUGCCAUGGCCGAUCUGCCGUCUUGUCGUAACGAUAACAUGCGCCAACAAGAUCUGCCCGCCCGGAAAGAAAUGCAAGGAGCAAGUCGUUAACUGCUUCAGAGCCCCGUGUCCCCCGAUCCCAGAGUGUGUGUAAAUGAUUCUGUAUGUCUAAUGGCAUCAUAUGAGAUGAUGGCUACCCGAAACACGAUCGCGCAUAGAUAAAACACGUGUAAGGUCUCGCUUGGGUACGUAUGCUGGGGUCACAGCAUUAAUAUUAUUGUUGCGGAUCAUCUUGGCCUUCUAAGACACCUUAGCCUUCCAUCUUAUCGGUUCAUAAUUUACGAUGCGAUGGUCAAAAUCGAUUUUGCGUGUGGUUUUGAAACGUUUCAUUUUGUUUCACUAGAAAGCUUUUUACAUCAGAGACAUCUGGUACAAAAUGCAAAUAACUAUGCAAUGGUAAGGUGAUCACCAAACAUGCAUAAUACGUACGUUUCCAGAUAAGUAUUUGAAAACUUGGUUGCGAUAAUGCUAAACCGGUGCUGAUCACGACGGAAACUAGCUUUUAAGCGUAAUGAAGGUCAUGGAGUAGAACGUUUUGUUCGGUUUCUUGCUUAGUUCGAGCAUUGCCACAGUUCUUUAUCAACAUCAGGAUAAUUGUGAGCCUCGUGUAUUUUUGUUAUGCUCAAAUGACGCCGUGCUUAAUAGGUGUAAUAAUCCUAAAGGAGUUGUCAUGCCAUAUGCUCUCGUUACUGGUGAACAAUUACAGUUUAUAUUGGGGUGUUCCACGCUUCAGGCGUUCUAAAACCCAAAGGAGUAGUUCCGCUGCUUCAAUACAGGAUGGUCAUGAAAAGAAUAGUCAUCUGAUUAUUUCACGAAAUAUCCAGAAAAUAAGCAGCAUUUCUUAAAUGAAUGAAUCCGAAACUUUGAAUGGAUGGCUUCUGAGAUCAGCGCUCACGUUAAGAAGUGCUUGUGGUGUGAGCACUGACACUUCACACUCGCUCGCGCAACUGCAGGUCGACGACAGAAUUUGGUAGCAGAAGUUUAGCUUACCACAUCACUCGGCACGGUCCGUCCUGCCCUCUAACGUCAACUGACCUUUAGCGCGUCCGCUGCCGUCGGCCGCGAAUCACACCUGUUGAAUGCAAACAGCGAGCUGUUGU